RNAcentral lists this ribosomal RNA (301 nucleotides) under uncultured bacterium. Its description in RNAcentral is "partial 16S ribosomal RNA". It matches the Rfam family "Bacterial small subunit ribosomal RNA", at positions 509 to 807 of the family's 1533-position model. The record is from RNAcentral.
CAGUCGCCGCGGUAAUACGGAGGGGGCUAGCGUUGUUCGGAAUUACUGGGCGUAAAGCGCACGUAGGCGGCUUGGUAAGUUAGAGGUGAAAGCCUGGAGCUCAACUCCAGAAUUGCCUUUAAGACUGCCGAGCUAGCAGGUGAGAGAGGUAAGUGGAAUUCCGAGUGUAGAGGUGAAAUUCGUAGAUAUUCGGAAGAACACCAGUGGCGAAGGCGGCUUACUGGCUCAUACUGGACGCUGAGGUGCGAAAGCGUGGAGAGCAAACAGGAUUAGAUACCCCUGUAGUCCCUGUCUCUUAUAC